UACAGAGGGUGCAAGCGUUAAUCGGAAUUACUGGGCGUAAAGCGCGCGUAGGUGGUUUGUUAAGUUGGAUGUGAAAUCCCCGGGCUCAACCUGGGAACUGCAUUCAAAACUGGCAAGCUAGAGUAUGGUAGAGGGUGGUGGAAUUUCCUGUGUAGCGGUGAAAUGCGUAGAUAUAGGAAGGAACACCAGUGGCGAAGGCGACCACCUGGACUGAUACUGACACUGAGGUGCGAAAGCGUGGGGAGCAAACAGG
RNAcentral lists this ribosomal RNA (253 nucleotides) under uncultured bacterium. RNAcentral's name for it is "partial 16S ribosomal RNA". It matches the Rfam family "Bacterial small subunit ribosomal RNA", at positions 524 to 776 of the family's 1533-position model. The record is from RNAcentral.